GCAGCCGCGGUAAUACAGAGGUCUCAAGCGUUGUUCGGAUUCAUUGGGCGUAAAGGGUGCGUAGGCGGCGCGGUAAGUCGGGUGUGAAAUCUUGGAGCUUAACUCCGAAACUGCAUUCGAUACUGCCGUGCUUGAGGACUGGAAAGGAGACUGGAAUUUACGGUGUAGCGGUGAAAUGCGUAGAUAUCGUAAGGAAGACCAGUGGCGAAGGCGGGUCUCUGGACAGUUCCUGACGCUGAGGCACGAAGGCCAGGGGAGCAAACGGGAUUAGAUACCCCGGUAGUCCUGGCAGUAAACGGUGCACGUUUGGUGUGGGAGGAUUCGACCCCUUCUGCGCCNGAGCUAACGCGUUAAACGUGCCGCCUGGGGAGUACGGUCGCAAGAUUAAACUCAAAUGAUUGACGG
RNAcentral lists this ribosomal RNA (405 nucleotides) under uncultured Spartobacteria bacterium. RNAcentral's name for it is "bacterial SSU rRNA". It matches the Rfam family "Bacterial small subunit ribosomal RNA", at positions 511 to 916 of the family's 1533-position model. Lineage: Bacteria; Pseudomonadati; Verrucomicrobiota; Spartobacteria. The record is from RNAcentral.